AACGCAUCUUGCGCCCCUUGGCAUUCCGAGGGGCACACCCGUUUGAGUGUCGUGAAAUCCUCAAAACCCUUUUCUUUGAUGGAAAAGGAUUUUGGACUUGGAGGUUUGAUGCUUGCUUUCACUUUUGAAAGUGAGCUCCUCUUAAAUAAAUUAGUGGGAUCCGCUUUGCUGAUCCUUAAUGUGAUAAGAUGUUUCUACAUUUUGGAUUUAGCACUGUCCCUUGGAUGCCUGCUUCUAACUAGUCUUAUGGACAAAUGAUGGUGCUCUGGUCACUGCCAAUCUACAUUGGUGGGAGGCUGGACCCACAGAAAAAAAUCUUGACCUCAAAUCGGGUGAGACUACCCGCUGAACUUAA
This 355-nucleotide unclassified non-coding RNA is filed under the name Cystobasidiopsis sp. Its description in RNAcentral is "partial contains 5.8S ribosomal RNA, internal transcribed spacer 2, and large subunit ribosomal RNA". Lineage: Eukaryota; Fungi; Basidiomycota; Agaricostilbomycetes; Agaricostilbales; Chionosphaeraceae. RNAcentral also lists the same sequence under 1 other name. The record is from RNAcentral.